GCACCUUUAGUUUAAUGGUAGAACAAACGUCUCCAAAACGUUAUGUAAGGGGUUCAAUUCCUUUAAGGUAUGCUUA
Molecule: transfer RNA, 76 nt
Filed under: Siphoviridae sp. ctRuT6
Lineage: Duplodnaviria; Heunggongvirae; Uroviricota; Caudoviricetes
Also listed under: 1 other name
Description: tRNA-Trp
Rfam family: tRNA
About the family: Transfer RNA (tRNA) molecules are approximately 80 nucleotides in length.
Source: RNAcentral